This 407-nucleotide ribosomal RNA is filed under the name uncultured microorganism. RNAcentral describes it as "bacterial SSU rRNA". It matches the Rfam family "Bacterial small subunit ribosomal RNA", at positions 509 to 917 of the family's 1533-position model. The record is from RNAcentral.
CAGCCGCCGCGGUAAUACGUAGGGGGCGAGCGUUACCCGGAUUCACUGGGCGUAAAGGGGGUGUAGGCGGCUCGGUAAGUCGGGUGUGAAAUCCCACGGCUCAACCGUGGAAUUGCGCCCGAAACUGCCGAGCUUGGGGCCGGUAGAGGGAGACGGAACUGCCGGUGUAGGGGUGAAAUCCGUAGAUAUCGGCAGGAACGCCGGUGGGGAAGCCGGUCUCCUGGGCCGCGCCCGACGCUGAGGCCCGAAAGCUAGGGGAGCAAACCGGAUUAGAUACCCGGGUAGUCCUAGCCGUAAACGAUGCCCACUAGGUGUGGGGGAGUAUUUCCUCCGUGCUGUAGCUAACGCAUUAAGUGCCCCGCCUGGGGAGUACGGCCGCAAGGUUGAAACUUAAAGGAAUUGGCGGG